AUUGAACGCUGGCGGCAUGCUUUACACAUGCAAGUCGAACGGUAACAGGUUAAGCUGACGAGUGGCGAACGGGUGAGUAAUGCAUCGGAACGUGCCCGAUCGUGGGGGAUAACGCAGCGAAAGCGUAGCUAAUACCGCAUACGAACUGAGGUUGAAAGCGGGGGAUCGCAAGACCUCGCGCGAUUGGAGCGGCCGAUGGCAGAUUAGGUAGUUGGUGGGGUAAAGGCCUACCAAGCCUGCGAUCUGUAGCUGGUCUGAGAGGACGACCAGCCACACUGGGACUGAGACACGGCCCAGACUCCUACGGGAGGCAGCAGUGGGGAAUUUUGGACAAUGGGCGCAAGCCUGAUCCAGCCAUUCCGCGUGCAGGAUGAAGGCCUUCGGGUUGUAAACUGCUUUUGUACGGAACGAAACGGUGCUGGUUAAUACCUGGCGCUAAUGACGGUACCGUAAGAAUAAGCACCGGCUAACUACGUGCCAGCCGCCGCGGUAA
RNAcentral lists this ribosomal RNA (493 nucleotides) under uncultured bacterium. RNAcentral describes it as "partial 16S ribosomal RNA". It matches the Rfam family "Bacterial small subunit ribosomal RNA", at positions 30 to 523 of the family's 1533-position model. The record is from RNAcentral.